Molecule: long non-coding RNA, 782 nt
Filed under: Heterocephalus glaber (naked mole-rat)
Lineage: Eukaryota; Metazoa; Chordata; Mammalia; Rodentia; Bathyergidae
Description: lncRNA (ENSHGLG00000033960.1)
Source: RNAcentral
CGGGACCCCCAGGAAAUCUUCUUACCAACUCUCAGCCAUCAAGGGUAUCCGGGGCGUGGGUGGGGGUGGCUGGCUUCUUGGGAGGGGGGCAUCCAGGAGGCCAAACGGGGUGGGCAGCAGGCGGGGCGGAAAGGGGCGAGCAGGUAGAAGGUUAUUACGGAAUUGCUUCCAUAAAACCUGUGGCUGUUGUAAAACUCUGCUUUCCAAAGACUUUAUUUCCUCCUUUCUCUCUAACAUCCCCCUUUUUUCUUCUUUUACAGCACUUUUCCUGAGAGGGGGUGGCUGAGGGACACCAUGGAUGGCUCGAAGACUGGGGCAGGUUGGGAACCAGCAGCCUGAGAAGCAAGACCCAGCUGCCAGUAAACAACUCGUCUGAAGAACUGGACCCAGGACUGUAGGUGAAAGGGGCUCAGCGCUGGCCCUGGCGACUCAGAUUCCAGAAACUUCUGUUUUUCUAACCAACUCCAGCUCAGGCAGGGCCGCUUGGAGAUACCUGGUUGGCAUCUGUCACUGAAGUGGGGACUCUCCGCAGAUGAAAGGACUCACAGCUUCGCCCCGUUACAAAGCCCUUCAAGGUCCCCAGCUCUAAGACUGGGCUGUAGCCAGGGGAGUGGGGAGACGUGGUGCGGAGAAAGAAAGCAACAAAGAGAUGGAAAAGGGGUGUCAGAAAAGCCAGUUUAUAACCUUAGCAGCAGCAUCCUGGCAAAGGCCUGGGACCCUCGAAGGCCUGGAUGAAGAAGACCGGCUCACCACGACAUGAACCCAGGCGAGGGCCUGUGGCA